Molecule: long non-coding RNA, 204 nt
Organism: Dermochelys coriacea (leatherback sea turtle)
Lineage: Eukaryota; Metazoa; Chordata; Testudines; Dermochelyidae
Exons: 5
Source: RefSeq, a predicted model, not a curated record
GGAGUUCAGAGGUGGGCUUUUCGAAAGGUCACAGCAGAGAGGUAUAUCAUACAAAGCGAAUGCAACAUGUCAUCACUGUCAAGUGGACCUCUGACAACAAGUACAUUCUGUGUGGCUCAGAUGAGAUGAACAUUCGUCUGUGGAAAGCUAAUGCUUCUGAAAAACUAGGCGUGCUUGUACCAAGAGAGAGGGAUGGGAAGAGCG